UACGUAGGGCGCAAGCGUUAUCCGGAAUUAUUGGGCGUAAAGAGCUCGUAGGCGGCUUGUCGCGUCGACUGUGAAAACUCGGGGCUCAACUCCGAGCUUGCAGUCGAUACGGGCAGGCUAGAGUUCGGUAGGGGAGACUGGAAUUCCUGGUGUAGCGGUGAAAUGCGCAGAUAUCAGGAGGAACACCGGUGGCGAAGGCGGGUCUCUGGGCCGAUACUGACGCUGAGGAGCGAAAGCGUGGGGAGCGAACAGG
Molecule: ribosomal RNA, 253 nt
Filed under: uncultured bacterium
Lineage: Bacteria
Description: partial 16S ribosomal RNA
Rfam family: Bacterial small subunit ribosomal RNA
Source: RNAcentral